Molecule: ribosomal RNA, 549 nt
Filed under: uncultured bacterium
Lineage: Bacteria
Description: partial 16S ribosomal RNA
Rfam family: Bacterial small subunit ribosomal RNA
Source: RNAcentral
UGGGGAAUUUUGGACAAUGGGCGCAAGCCUGAUCCAGCCAUGCCGCGUGCGGGAAGAAGGCCUUCGGGUUGUAAACCGCUUUUGUCAGGGAAGAAAUCUUCUGAGUUAAUACCUCGGGAGGAUGACGGUACCUGAAGAAUAAGCACCGGCUAACUACGUGCCAGCAGCCGCGGUAAUACGUAGGGUGCAAGCGUUAAUCGGAAUUACUGGGCGUAAAGCGUGCGCAGGCGGUUUUGUAAGACAGAGGUGAAAUCCCCGGGCUCAACCUGGGAACUGCCUUUGUGACUGCAAGGCUUGAGUGCGGCAGAGGGGGAUGGAAUUCCGCGUGUAGCAGUGAAAUGCGUAGAUAUGCGGAGGAACACCGAUGGCGAAGGCAAUCCCCUGGGCCUGCACUGACGCUCAUGCACGAAAGCGUGGGGAGCAAACAGGAUUAGAUAGCCCUGGUAGUCCACGCCCUAAACGAUGUCAACUGGUUGUUGGGAAGGUUCCUUCUCAGUAACGUAGCUAACGCGUGAAGUUGACCGCCUGGGAAGUACGGCCGCAAGGUUG